AUUGAACGCUGGCGGCAGGCCUAACACAUGCAAGUCGAGCGGAUGAGGGGAGCUUGCUCCUGGAUUCAGCGGCGGACGGGUGAGUAAUGCCUAGGAAUCUGCCUGGUAGUGGGGGAUAACGUCCGGAAACGGGCGCUAAUACCGCAUACGUCCUGAGGGAGAAAGUGGGGGAUCUUCGGACCUCACGCUAUCAGAUGAGCCUAGGUCGGAUUAGCUAGUUGGUGGGGUAAAGGCCUACCAAGGCGACGAUCCGUAACUGGUCUGAGAGGAUGAUCAGUCACACUGGAACUGAGACACGGUCCAGACUCCUACGGGAGGCAGCAGUGGGGAAUAUUGGACAAUGGGCGAAAGCCUGAUCCAGCCAUGCCGCGUGUGUGAAGAAGGUCUUCGGAUUGUAAAGCACUUUAAGUUGGGAGGAAGGGCAGUAAGUUAAUACCUUGCUGUCUUGACGUUACCAACAGAAUAAGCACCGGCUAACUUCGUG
This 484-nucleotide ribosomal RNA is filed under the name uncultured bacterium. RNAcentral's name for it is "partial 16S ribosomal RNA". It matches the Rfam family "Bacterial small subunit ribosomal RNA", at positions 30 to 507 of the family's 1533-position model. The record is from RNAcentral.